Molecule: ribosomal RNA, 735 nt
Filed under: uncultured Mycobacterium sp.
Lineage: Bacteria; Bacillati; Actinomycetota; Actinomycetes; Mycobacteriales; Mycobacteriaceae
Description: bacterial SSU rRNA
Rfam family: Bacterial small subunit ribosomal RNA
Source: RNAcentral
CUGGGCGUAAAGAGCUCGUAGGUGGUUUGUCGCGUUGUUCGUGAAAUCUCACGGCUUAACUGUGAGCGUGCGGGCGAUACGGGCAGACUUGAGUACUGCAGGGGAGACUGGAAUUCCUGGUGUAGCGGUGGAAUGCGCAGAUAUCAGGAGGAACACCGGUGGCGAAGGCGGGUCUCUGGGCAGUAACUGACGCUGAGGAGCGAAAGCGUGGGGAGCGAACAGGAUUAGAUACCCUGGUAGUCCACGCCGUAAACGGUGGGUACUAGGUGUGGGUUUCCUUCCUUGGGAUCCGUGCCGUAGCUAACGCAUUAAGUACCCCGCCUGGGGAGUACGGCCGCAAGGCUAAAACUCAAAGAAAUUGACGGGGGCCCGCACAAGCGGCGGAGCAUGUGGAUUAAUUCGAUGCAACGCGAAGAACCUUACCUGGGUUUGACAUGCACAGGACGCCGGCAGAGAUGUCGGUUCCCUUGUGGCCUGUGUGCAGGUGGUGCAUGGCUGUCGUCAGCUCGUGUCGUGAGAUGUUGGGUUAAGUCCCGCAACGAGCGCAACCCUUGUCUCAUGUUGCCAGCGGGUAAUGCCGGGGACUCGUGAGAGACUGCCGGGGUCAACUCGGAGGAAGGUGGGGAUGACGUCAAGUCAUCAUGCCCCUUAUGUCCAGGGCUUCACACAUGCUACAAUGGCCGGUACAAAGGGCUGCGAUGCCGCGAGGUUAAGCGAAUCCUUUUAAAGCCGGUC